Molecule: ribosomal RNA, 358 nt
Filed under: Agelastica alni
Lineage: Eukaryota; Metazoa; Arthropoda; Insecta; Coleoptera; Chrysomelidae
Description: partial 16S ribosomal RNA
Source: RNAcentral
CUGCAGUAUUUUGACUGUACUAAGGUAGCAUAAUCAUUAGUUUUUUAAUUGAAAGCUAGAAUGAAGGGUUGGAUGAGAAAAUUAGUGUCUUUAUAAAAAUAAUUUAGAAUUUUAUUUUUAAGUUAAAAAGCUUAAAUUUUUUUAAAAGACGAGAAGACCCUAUAGAGUUUUAUAAUUUAAUUUUAUUAUAUAUUUAGAAUUUAUUAUAUAUUAUUUUUAAAUUAUUUAAUUGGGGCGAUUAAAAAAUUUAUUUAACUUUUUUUGUAUGUUUAUAUUAAUUUAUAAAUUAUUGAUCCAUGUAUUAUGAUUAUAAGAUAAAAUUACCUUAGGGAUAACAGCGUAAUUUUAUUAGAAAGUU